AUUGAACGCUGGCGGCAGGCCUAACACAUGCAAGUCGAACGAGUGGCGGACGGGUGAGUAAUGUCUGGGAAACUGCCUGAUGGAGGGGGAUAACUACUGGAAACGGUAGCUAAUACCGCAUACCAUCGGAUGUGCCCAGAUGGGAUUAGCUUGUUGGUGGGGUAACGGCUCACCAAGGCGACGAUCCCUAGCUGGUCUGAGAGGAUGACCAUCCACACGGGAACUGAGCUAGGGUCCAGACUCGUACGGGAGUCAGAAGUGGGGAAUAUUGCACAAUGUGCGAAAGCCUGAUGGAGCCAUGCCGCGUGGAUGAAGAAGGCCUUCGGGUUGUAAAGUACUUUCAGCGGGGAGUCGUUACCCGCAGAAGAAGCACCGGCUAACUCCGUGCCAGAAGCCGCGGUAAUAC
RNAcentral lists this ribosomal RNA (406 nucleotides) under uncultured bacterium. RNAcentral describes it as "partial 16S ribosomal RNA". It matches the Rfam family "Bacterial small subunit ribosomal RNA", at positions 30 to 526 of the family's 1533-position model. The record is from RNAcentral.